GCGGCAUGCUUUACACAUGCAAGUCGAACGGCAGCGCGGGGCAACCUGGCGGCGAGUGGCGAACGGGUGAGUAAUAUAUCGGAACGUACCCAAGAGUGGGGGAUAACGUAGCGAAAGUUACGCUAAUACCGCAUACGAUCUAUGGAUGAAAGUGGGGGAUCGCAAGACCUCAUGCUCCUGGAGCGGCCGAUAUCUGAUUAGCUAGUUGGUGAGGUAAAGGCUCACCAAGGCGACGAUCAGUAGCUGGUCUGAGAGGACGACCAGCCACACUGGAACUGAGACACGGUCCAGACUCCUACGGGAGGCAGCAGUGGGGAAUUUUGGACAAUGGGCGCAAGCCUGAUCCAGCAAUGCCGCGUGAGUGAAGAAGGCCUUCGGGUUGUAAAGCUCUUUUGUCAGGGAAGAAACGGUGGGAGCUAAUAUCUCUUGCUAAUGACGGUACCUGAAGAAUAAGCACCGGCUAACUACGUGCCAGCAGCCGCGGUAAUACGUAGGGUGCAAGCGUUAAUCGGAAUUACUGGGCGUAAAGCGUGCGCAGGCGGUUUUGUAAGUCUGUCGUGAAAGCCCCGGGCUCAACCUGGGAAUUGCGAUGGAGACUGCAAGGCUUGAAUCUGGCAGAGGGGGGUAGAAUUCCACGUGUAGCAGUGAAAUGCGUAGAGAUGUGGAGGAACACCGAUGGCGAAGGCAGCCCCCUGGGUCAAGAUUGACGCUCAUGCACGAAAGCGUGGGGAGCAAACAGGAUUAGAUACCCUGGUAGUCCACGCCCUAAACGAUGUCUACUAGUUGUCGGGGUUUUAAUUAACUUGGUAACGCAGCUAACGCGUGAAGUAGACCGCCUGGGGAGUACGGUCGC
Molecule: ribosomal RNA, 853 nt
Filed under: Massilia brevitalea
Lineage: Bacteria; Pseudomonadati; Pseudomonadota; Betaproteobacteria; Burkholderiales; Oxalobacteraceae
Description: bacterial SSU rRNA
Rfam family: Bacterial small subunit ribosomal RNA
Source: RNAcentral